RNAcentral lists this ribosomal RNA (378 nucleotides) under uncultured bacterium. RNAcentral describes it as "bacterial SSU rRNA". It matches the Rfam family "Bacterial small subunit ribosomal RNA", at positions 521 to 896 of the family's 1533-position model. The record is from RNAcentral.
UAAUACGGAGGGUGCAAGCGUUGUCCGGAUUUAUUGGGUUUAAAGGGUGCGUAGGCGGGUCUGUAAGUCAGUGGUGAAAUCCAGCAGCUCAACUGUUGAAUUGCCAUUGAUACUGCGGGUCUUGAGUGUGGCCGAGGUGACAGGAAUGUGUGGUGUAGCGGUGAAAUGCAUAGAUAUCACACAGAACACCGAUUGCGAAGGCAAGUCACUAGGCUAAAACUGACGCUGAGGCACGAAAGCGUGGGGAUCAAACAGGAUUAGAUACCCUGGUAGUCCACGCCGUAAACGAUGAUUACUAGGUGUUCGUGUGUUUAAGACAUAUGAGUGCCCAAGCGAAAGCGAUAAGUAAUCCACCUGGGGAGUACGACCGCAAGGUUG